Molecule: ribosomal RNA, 497 nt
Filed under: uncultured bacterium
Lineage: Bacteria
Description: partial 16S ribosomal RNA
Rfam family: Bacterial small subunit ribosomal RNA
Source: RNAcentral
GAUGAACGCUGGCGGCGUGCCUAAUACAUGCAAGUCGAGCGAACAGACGAGGAGCUUGCUCCUCUGACGUUAGCGGCGGACGGGUGAGUAACACGUGGAUAGCCUACCUAUAAGACUGGGAUAACUUCGGGAAACCGGAGCUAAUACCGGAUAAUAUAUUGAACCGCAUGGUUCAAUAGUGAAAGACGGUUUUGCUGUCACUUAUAGAUGGAUCCGCGCCGCAUUAGCUAGUUGGUAAGGUAACGGCUUACCAAGGCGACGAUGCGUAGCCGACCUGAGAGGGUGAUCGGCCACACUGGAACUGAGACACGGUCCAGACUCCUACGGGAGGCAGCAGUAGGGAAUCUUCCGCAAUGGGCGAAAGCCUGACGGAGCAACGCCGCGUGAGUGAUAAAGGUCUUCGGAUCGUAAAACUCUGUUAUUAGGGAAGAACAAAUGUGUAAGUAACUAUGCACGUCUUGACGGUACCUAAUCAGAAAGCCACGGCUAACUACGUG